Molecule: non-coding RNA, 19907 nt
Organism: Pelobates cultripes (western spadefoot toad)
Lineage: Eukaryota; Metazoa; Chordata; Amphibia; Anura; Pelobatidae
Source: the annotation of a GenBank genome assembly
GAAAUCUUGUGGAAAACCUUCCCAGUAGAGUGGAAUCUGUUAUAGCUGCAAAGGGCGGACCAACCACAUAUUAAUGUAUGUAUUUAGAAGGAGAUGUCAUUUUGCUGUAAUGGUCAGGUGUCACAAUACUUUUGUCCAUGCAGUGUGUAUGUGUGUGUGUGUGUGUGUGUAUGUGUGUAUAUAUACCAUGUUGACUAUGACUAGAAGCCAAUAUAAAGACAGCACAGAAGGAAGUUAGUAAGCUGGAUCAAUAUCACAGAGGUUGAAAGAUCAAAGAUAGAUCCUGACUACUGUGCAAGAAUAAGGCACUGGACCAGAGGCACUGGAAACAGCUAAGGAAGGACUGGCAGCACUAGAAUCCAUACUGAGCAGAUAUACCAGAGAAGCAGAGGCUACAAGAAUCAAUGACCUCUUUACCAAAGAACCAUCCAAGGUGUAUGCAAAACACAGAGACCGAACGGUACUGGAAGAAUAUCUGGUAGAAAGAAGCAUCACAAUCUAUGAUAUCAAACAGUGAGUAGCACAUAUGAACAGUAGGUCAGCCCCAGGAAUUGACAUGAGCCACAACUACUGGAUAAUGAAGUUAACAAUGCUACAUAAAUGCCUAGCAGCAUUCAAUGUUACUAGAAACAGGCUCCCACCCUGACUGACUAACACAUGGCAGAUCAAUACUGGUCAAGAAGAACCCUCAAAAGGGAACAACACUAUUUAACAACCGAUUAAUCAACCGUCUACGCAGAACAUAGCAGCUCCUGUUGGGCAUCAAAGCCUUCAAUAUCGAUGCACAUGUGAGUUAGUACAUAACCAAUGUUCAGAAGAGGAUUGGAAACAACACCAGAAAAUUAAAACACCAAAUACUGGUAGACCAAGCAGUCACAAGUGAUUCUAAGACCAGACAGACCAAUCUGUACAAAGCCACGAUUGCCACACACAUGGAUACUGGAAUGCUUGGCUCUAUACAAGGUCAAUAGGAGCCUUCAUCAAGAACUCAAUGGGCAAGUGGGAAAACAACUCUAGAAACCAAUUCCAAUAACACAAGUGAACAUCAAAUGUGGCAUAUACCAAGGUGUUGCACUAUCCCCAAUGCUGUUCUGCAUAGACCUCAACCCCCACAGCCAGACCAUCAAGAAUAGUGGAUACAGAUUCAGGUUCAAGAGUGGAGCUUCCAUCAGUCAUCUACUCUACAUGGAUGAAAUCAAGCUGUAUGCCAAGAAUGAGUGGGAUGUUGACUCACUGAAUAACAUAAUCAGGAUAUACAGCAAGGACAUCAGAAUAUUGUUCAAAAUAAAGAAAUGUGAGCAGAUGAUAAAAAGGAUAGCGUAAAAGGGAAAGAUGAUCAGGACAGAAGGAGUUCAAGUACUAGAAGGCCAAAUAGAAGAUGUAGAGAACAGCUACUCAUGGCAACCGUGAGGAAGAAGCAAGGAGGAUAGUAAUAUAAAAGUACCUCCAGAGAGUCAGACAGGUCCUGAAAUCCCAAGUCAAUGGCAAGAAAAAGAUCCAAGCCAUCAAUGCCCUACUAGUCAUCAGGUAACCAGCAGGAAUAAUAACUUGGCCAAGAAGAGAACUGGUCGCCAUGGAUGUCAAGACCUGGAAACUAUUCACUAUGUAUGAAGGAUUCCACCCAGUACCCAGAGACUGCACACCAGCAUGAAGGAAGGAGGUCUGGGCCUGAUGAUUGUCAAGGUCACAGUCCUGAAUAAAAUCCAGAUGAUCCAUAAGUACAUCAUGAAGAUGGCUCCCAAAGAUGAACUGCUAUGGCAAUGCCUGAGACAACAGCAGAUAGAUGAUGUAGAAAAGGGGGGGUUCCAUGGCAAGACAAACCUCUCAAUGCGGUGUACCACUGGCAGAUAGUUAAUGAAGCUGAGAUAACAAAAUCCUACCAGUGUUUGGAAAAGGCAGGACUGAAAGACAGCAGUGAGGCCAGAGGCGUAACUAGAAACCAUGGGGCCCCGGUGCUAAAAUUGCCCUCCCCCCCCUCCCCCAUAUGUCUAUCCCCCACACCAUAUGUCCCCAACCCCCCACACAUGCAGACACACAUACAUGUAGACACACACAUGCAUACAUACAUUAUACAUACAUUAUACAUUAUAUGUAAUUGAAGAUUAUAUUAGCUUUAGUGUACUAAUAAUCUUAAUUUUAGUAAUGACAGGAGGCGAAUAUUUGCAUAUCUUUCUUUACUGAAAACUCCAGCAGCAUAGAAACAUAACAACCAAUCAGAAAAAAGUUAUGAUGCCCAUAAAAGGCCCUGUCUAUGACAUCAUUUCCUCUUUCUUUGAAAUUCUUUAAAUAACAACAAGAGACAUAAUCAUAUUACGUCAUUAGUUCAACAACAUAUUAGAAUAUCCAACUCCAUUAGUUCCGCGAUGCAGAGGUAUGGAAGGUGAAUUUUUGUCUCGAUGAGAAGACGUUCACGCUGCAAGAAAAAGAAAAGGUGAAAGGUAUCUGGCGUGAUAACUUGUCCGCAUACAAUAAGCAUAAGCAUCUGAUAUACCAACGAACAUUAGAAUGUGAAACAUAUCAAUAUAUAUUUAUUCUAACGCAAUGAUAUUUAAGGAUCUAUAAACACAACAUAAUGCAAGGUUCAUGUCUAAUAUUCAGCCAAUACAAGACCCGCAAGGUACAGGUCUAAGUAGCAAACAUACAAACCAUACGUACUUACCUUCCUGAACGUAAAGGACAUAUUCUGUUCAACACGAGAAACAUGGGAGGGAUCCUAUAGAGUGGGAAAUAUUCGCCUCCUGUCAUUACUAAAAUUAAGAUUAUUAGUACACUAAAGCUAAUAUAAUCUUCAAUUUUACCACAUGACAGGAGGCUUCAUAUUUGCAUUUUUAAAGCUUUGAAUUGACCAAUGUGAAGGAAGCAUGAGAUGUUUGCCAAAAAUAGAACGUUCUAAACGUACUCUCUCGCGCUCAGUCCGCGCAGCGUAUAAUGUCGGCUAGGGAAGCGUCGGCCGAAAAGGUUUGUGAGGCCGCCGCUCCCCUGACCGAGUGGGCUCCGAAACAAGGUUCGACGCUAAAGACAAAAACCAGCGGACCCAUCUGGCCAGUGUUGCGGUAGACACCGGUCCAUGAGGGUUCACGUAAGAAGUCAGAAGGUGAUCCGUCGAAUGAGUUCGAAGGGGGUAGAGAUAUUGGUGUACCCCAUUAGCGUUCUGACCACGCAUAGUGUGGCGUCUGACACAAAGCAUGGGUAUGACACUGAAGACGAAUCAGACGUAGUUCGUCUCGACAUGGUAAAGGUAACCCCGUCUGGUGUGAGAGAGAAACCAUCCAUAUCGCAAGCCCUAACAUCCGCCACCGUCUAAAUGAGGCGAGGCAUAAUAAGAGGGCUAGUUUGGCUGAAAGUUGCUUCAGUGACAAACAAGGAUUGCCCGGCCAUUCCCUAAGGAAUCUCAGCACCACAUCCACCUGCCAGAGGCGUGAAUAUUUGGGUGUAGGGAUCUCGACAAUUCUGCACCCCGCAGUAGUCGACAAACCAGUGUAUCUUGACCUACUGUUCUGCCCUGUACCGGAACGUGCGCCGCCGAUAUGGCGGAUCUGAUCACGUUGAGGGAUUGAUAUGACCGACCCAACGAGACCAGGUGUGACAGAUAGUUGAGGAUCAGUGGGACAGGUGCAGUAAAGGGAUCGGAAUCCCUUUCCACACACCAAUCACUCCAGGCCGACCAGGCAGAAAUAUAGCCUUUCCUGGUGCCGGGAGCCUAUGAGUCCCAUAGGAGGUCUUAGUUGAUGCAAUAGGUCGUGAACUGACCAGGAGCCCCUGAAGCCGUCCAGGCAACUAGUGCCAGUUGUCCUUCCAUGACGAAGGAGUGGGCUUCCCCUCGAGGUCCCGUCAGAAGUAGAGGGAAGGUAGGGAGUUGUAGAGGGUCUUCGCGAGACAUCUCCAGGCGAUCUGGGAAAAUCACGGUUGGCCCUGCUCGAGGGGUGUCAUGAGCAGGAGCGAUAUCUUGUGGGUGUGUGUGUGUAUCGAAGCACCCUUGCUAUUGUGGAGAACGGCUGGGUCACGUUUGCAGGGGUUCAUCCAUCGCCCCGUAUCCGAAGGAAGAGUCAAAGGUCGUUUUGCCAAUCCAAGUUUGUAUGUGAAGUAAUCACCAUCGAAAUUCCAUCCUCACUUCCGCUGACAGUGGGAUCCAGUGGUCGUAUGAGUGACCGGUGCGUACAUAUCUCACCAUCAGUCGUAGUGGGCCAGAGAAUAACGCUUGUAUGGAGGAGGAGAGGAGGAGAGGAAUCCCACAAUCCGACAGCUAUCCUUAUAGAGGCGCUCUUUGCCGUAGACAGACACGGAACGUAGUUCUCCAAGCCGAUGUCGAAACCGAGGAACUGGCCCGAUUCAGAUGGGGAAGCGAUCUUUGUCUGUGUACAACAAAAAACACAUGGAGUCCCGAAAGUGAACGACAAAUUUGUCUGCAAACGUAGCCUGGAUUCGUAAAGAAUCAGCAAGUCUUCCAGGUAUAAGAGGCAUCGCACUCCCAAAUUUACGGAUGUGUGCCCUCACUGGUUACAGUAGGUUCACGAGCACCACGGAGUCGUAAACUGCCGUGUUUGUCCUCACCAUUGGAAUCGGAGGAAAACUUCGGCAGUCCAGGGCAACGGGUACUGACAAGCGUGCGUCCUUGAGGUCCAGAUGUGUAAACCAGUCGUUAUCGCCUAGGAGGUCUUGUAGAAGACGAAUUUCCUCCAUCUUGCAGCAUUUGUAUACCAUGUAGGAGUUCCAUUGAUGUAGUCUCCUGGCUUCUUCUUGACCAGGAAAAAUUUGCUGGGGAAGCCUUCCCCUCCGGUGCAUGUUGAAUUGCGCCCCUCCUGAAGAGGGUGCAGAUUUUCUUGUCCACGAGGCGUUCCUGUUCCGCCAGCGUGCGUAAUGGAGGUGAAGGGGCGACCUGCACGGCUGUGAUAAAACUCUAUGACAUAGCCUUGUACUGUCUGGAGAACCCAGGUGACUUUGGUAGUCGUCUCCCAAUUCUGUAAAACAGAGACAGGUUGCCGGUCAUAAUAUUGGAAACAGUUAGUUAUGUAGGUUGACACACUAGUAGAUGAAGCGGAUGGGUUCCUUUGUGUAGUAGAUGGGAGAAAUAUGAGGACUGUGUAUACGAUCUGGAACCUGUCGCCCAGGAGCGGCUGGUGGCUCGGUUCAGCUACCGACCAGUCCUCCCAGAAACACCUUUCCCCGUAGGGUUGUGGAAGACUUGUUUUAGCGAGGUCUGGGUUUAAUUUAGUGUGGUGAAUAAAUUCACGUGUUUCUUGAGUACUGCAAUGAACACUACGUCGAAUAGUAGGCCUUGUGCUUUUGGGCCGAAUUCUUGUCGUUCCUAAGCCCAAUAGUGUGUUGUCGAUGCGGCCCAGUACAGAUUUGCGUCUGUCGGCGCAUAGUGCGUCAUUUACGUUGCCCAGGAGGCAUAUCGAGCAUUGAGACCAUUCUUUGGAGGUGGUAGUGUUGAGUUGUGUACCCUGGGGUAACUCGGUCUUGAGGCGUGCGCAUCCUUCCAUCCCCCGAGGGUUGCGCAGCCAAUAGUGUUCGUCCAGGAACGUUCCGUCUUCGGCUACUCUGGUUUAGUGCCGCUACAGUUAUCUCUGCCUCAGCCGCCGUCACAGAGUAAGGUUUCCCUAACGUACUUUGAGGAAGUGUGGGGAAGGUCUUGCCGUUCCAUUUCCUCAGACGGUGAGCUGUCUUCGUGUCGCUCAUCUACCAUGUCCAAAGUACGUGGUGGGUAAUAGUCUUCUUUGUCGGAAGAUUGUGGCGGACGGGGUUUGGAUUCCCUGUGCUCCGCCUAUUUGGUCUGAUCGAUGGGCGUCUUGCCCUUGACCUUAGCGGCAGGGGGGCUGGAGCCCUUCCCUUGCCGUUUUGACUUGAAGGCUUGUGGGCCUGAGGUCUCCAUCAAGCGGUGUGGGGUAGAGUUCAUAACAGAACCCUCUCCACUGAGGCCGUUACUGUGGCGUUUAGCAUUGCCUAGAAAUCUUGGGAACGUUGAGAGUGUCCACCAUGACUCGUUCCCGUCCUGUUGGGAGAUAGUGUGAGGGUCAGCACGUAGGGGUGUUAGACUCCUGGUAGAACUGGGGAUCACCCAGGUAAAACGGUUUGAAUUGCCUGCUUUAGUAUGUCUGAGAGUAUGAAUACUCGUGCCAAGUGUAGAGGGGUCACCUCUAUUAGUUUAAUCUGGCUACUGAGAGCCGUGGUGCAGGCGCGACUGACUGGUAGUGGUGUCGGUCUGGCUAGCCGGGUUCACCACAAAUGUACGCCAGAGCUGUAUGCACGGUUUUUAACUAUACAGGCUUAUUAUAUAUAGGCGCAUGGGGCCUGUCUCCAUAAGGUCUGCGGCCGCAGGACCCAUGUCUAUUAGGCUGGGUUCAUCCCAGGUGGUGUGCCAUGGUAACCCAGAGGACACCCAUAUUAUAAUUAUUGGCACCUUACAAGCAUUGCAUGCAUAUCUGGGGGUCAUCCCAGGUGGUGUGCCAUGAAAAAUUACAGAGGACACCCACGUUCAAUAUGUACACUAGGCACAGUAAAUAUACAUAUAUGUAUCCCUGUGAAGGGUACACCGCAAUACACUCAGUUUUCUUAGUGAUCCUGCCGUCAAGUCGCAUCCGGCAUGGUACUGUUGCUUUAAUGUAAAACUGACAGGCAGUGUUUAAACAUCCAUAUAUGUCUGUAGUAAUCAGUGGUAAAGUUGCGGCGUAGGCCUCCGUGCAUAUGAUCGGGGUUCACCCCGGGUGGUGUGCCAUGGUAACCCAGAGGACACCCACAUCAAAGGUAAUGGUCUGUUAGUGACCUUGCAUGCAUAUCUGGGGGGUCACCCCAGGUGGUGUGCCAUGAAAAAAUACCCAGAGGACACCCACAUAAAUUUGCACCGUCAGGUACAGUAAUAUAAUAUGACCCUCUGUAGGGUACAAUAAUAUAAUAUAAUAUGCCCUUUGUAGGGUACAGUAACACAAUAUGCCCUUCGUAGGGUACAGUGAUAUAGUUGAUCUUGUUAUAGGUACAGUAUAUGUUUUGUAUAACGACUGUGAUAUUGUAUGGCUUCACAAUAAUACAUAGAUUGUGUGCCUGCUCAACAUAUAAACAUCCAGUGUAAGAGUGCACCAUGAGAGAUAUAUCCAUGAGAAUAAAAAAUAAUAAUUGUAUCAAUAAAUGAAUGUGCCCAGAGAGGGGGACCCCUGAAGGGGUUAAUCCAGAUGCAGGGCGCGGUGAUCGGGUGAUUCCUGUAGGGUAUAGUAAUAUAGUAUGACCCUGUGCAGGGUAUAGUAAUAUGGUAUGACCCUGUAUAGGGUAUAGACCCUGAGUAAGGUACAAAGACAUAAUCUCCUUUAAUGCCUGCAUGUAAGUAUUUGUUUGGCAGACACUGUUGGCAGGCACUGUGGCAAAAUACAUUGAAAGAAUACAUGGAGAAAAAACUGAAAUCCAGCUUGCACUCUCCCAUUGUUCACUUGGGAGAGCAUACACUGUGGAGCCCGGCGGUCGGGUGAGUUCCCGAUCUGCCGAACGAGCAGGGAAGGCGGCCGUCGGGUAUCUCGCGAGCCGCAAGAUCCAAGAUGGCCGCCGCCCACAUGUGAAGGUGCAAAACAAAGGGGAUAAAUGCAACACAAACACUGACCCCAGCCUCCCUCCACCCGUCCCCAUACAGUCCCCUGUGUAAGAGAAGGGCCGGUCCGCGAGGCGAGCGCGACACGGGUAGUCGUUGCGCCCGCGGAUACCAGGCAGUAAGGUGGAAAUAAAAAGGGGGAAAAAACAGAGGGAUACAGUGAAGGGACAGGAAUAAGGGGGGCCAAGGUAGCAGGUGUUAGCAAUAAAUAGAGUAAUAUAUAGUGGUAUGACAAUCAAAAAACAGUGUAAAUUAAGAAUCUACCAGAGAGGUAAAAUACUCUGACCUGAUGCAUGGCUGGAGCAGCAAAGAAAGAGGAAAUGAUGUCAUAGACAGGGCCUUUUAUGGGCAUCAUAACUUUUUUCUGAUUGGUUGUUAUGUUUCUAUGCUGCUGGAGUUUUCAGUAAAGAAAGAUAUGCAAAUAUGAAGCCUCCUGUCAUGUGGUAAAAUUAUAUAUAUUAAUAUUAAAAUACACUUAGACAGUAUGUAUAUAUAUAUAUAUAUAUAUAUACUUAGAUCAUAUAUAUAUAUAUAUAUAUAUAUAUAUAUAUAUAUAUGAUCUAAGUAUACAUAAUUGUAUUUUACACUGAUUUAACUUUUAUGUUAUCUUUUUCAGACAGCAGGGGGAGUACUUGUCAUUACAGGCACUCCCCCUGCUGGCAAAGCCUUGGACGGAUAUGCCGUCUAUGUGAUCGUAAGGUCCUUGCAUAUAUGUAAAUAAUAUUAAAAAAAUAAUAAUAAUAUAUAGAUAGAUAUUCAAUACACACACACUACAUGGCACAAUGACUUAUGGGGCUGGCAUACAUUUUUUUCCCAAGGAUACUUUGUAGCCCCUGUCCGGCACUGCAAAAAGAGGCUGAGCAUGGAUGUCAUUACAAUUAUGCCCCCCUGGAAAAAUUCCUGCGGACGCCCAUGCCUAAAGGUAAUGAUUCUGCUCACCAGAACAAAUUCAAUAAGCUAUAGUUGUUCUGGUGACUAUAGUGUCCCUUCAAGGAUUUUAAAACUUUACAUUUCCGGCAUAGUGUUCCUCGUGUUCUGUUAUAGAAUUUGAUGUGUUUUACUAUAACUGUUUAUUUGUUCGUCAAGUGGUUCAAUCGUUUUGGUAACAUCUUCGAACAAUCACCAACUCAGGGAGUUACAUAGUUACAUCGUUACAUAGUUACAUAGCUGAAAAGAGACUCGCGUCCAAGUUCAGCCUUCCUCACAUUUGUUUUUGCUGUUGAUCCAAUAGAAGGCAAAAAAAUGAAAAAAGUUUGAAGAACUUCCAAUUUUGCAACAAGCUAGGGGACCUUCUUGACCCCAGAAUGGCAGUCAUAUUAAUCCUUGGAUCAAGAAGCUAUUACCCUACAUUGAAAGAUUAUAUCCUUGAAUAUUCUGUUUUUGCAAGUAUGCAUCUAGGAGCUGUUUGAACAUCUGUAUGGACUCUGAUAAAACCACUUCUUCAGGCAGAGAAUUCCCCAUCCUUAUUGUUCUUACAGUAAAAAAAACAUUUCCUUUGCCUUAGUUAUUUGUAGUCUUAUAUUUCUAACAAGCAAAACAAUAAAAUAUUAAGGGGGUAUUGGAUAAUGUUAUAACUUUUAUUUACUGUAUUUUUUCAAGUCCUUUGUAGUGCAAAUUUGUCCAGUGUUUCCCUUUAAUGUUUCAAAACUGUAUCCUUAGAAAAAUUGUGAUUGUGCUUAAAGGGACACUAGAACAAUUACAGUGUAAUGUAGUUGUUCUGGUGUCUAAAGCCUGUCGCUGCAGGCAUUUUAAUGAACACACUGUCUUUUCAGAGAGUCACUCAGAUGGCCAUUAGGGGUGCUCCUGUUUCAGUGCUGCAUAGAGUGCAUGAAGGUGUUGAACGUCCCUCAUAGAUGCAUUGAGUCAACGCAUUUCUAAGAAGAUGCUUAUUAACACAAUGCGGCGAUUUGCUGCAUAUGUGCGACAGCCUCCCAAUGCUUUCUUAUGGGUAUGCACUGGAUUGACUGAGAUUGUAAAAUUUGAGGGUGCAGUGGGGGGUGUGGGAGCAGAGCCAGCCACAAGGAGACCAGCGCAGAGGUGGAAAAAGUGAGUAAGUCACCUUUUCUGUAUACAUAUUUUUAUUGCCAUUUUCCACUUUCAAGUUAAACACAAAGCCAACAUAAAGAAAUCAUAGCUAAUAGGAUAUGCAUGUCUCCAAUUAUCACAUCAAGCACAUAAAAAUAAAUUAAAGCAAAAACUACGCUUAGGCAAAGGAGGUUUCUUAUCAAGUGACAUGCAGGUGCCAUGCCAUAAAAGAGUAGCAGAUGAUGUGGGCUCCCAAGUCCCUCAAUGUGCAGCAGGUAAAAGGCACAUAUGAUCAACAUACUGCAAACCGAUACAUUAAUGACAUUGUAAAUCACCGUUUUAACUGGGGACUAGGGGGGCCAGGGACCUAAAUGGCAACAGUAGAGUUAUAGUUUCAGGAAAUAGAUAACCAAAAAUACAUAAGCAAGCAAAAUCAGGAGUUUGUUAGGUUAAGGUAAUUUCGUCCAUGGUUGUCAGGAGUCUUUGGGAAAAAUUUUGUUAAAACAUAACAUUUAAUGAUAUAUACAAAUAAAAUAUUUUAUUCAAACACCCUUAAUACCAAGUUUUCACCAAGUGUAGAUAAAAAUCGGUGAAAGAAAAAAAAAUUAUAAUGGAAAAAGAUUAAUAAAUAAAAUUAAGAGCUAAAUGCUCUAAAAGUUGAAUGUUCUAUAGGUGAUAUGUUAUAUCACAUAGAAGGAGCAGCACAGUGUUGUCCUUUGUUGAUCAGACUGGUAGAUAAAGCAGGUACAUAAAGCAGAGAGGUGCUAUCCACCUUUCAAAAAGAAGCAAAAGAAAUAAAACAAAGAUUUAACCCCUUAAGGACACAUGACACGUGUGACAUGUCAUGAUUCCCUUUUAUUCCAGAAGUUUGGUCCUUAAGGGGUUAAGGAACAAGGAUACCCUAACAGGGUCCUAAAGAAGGCAUUUUAAAGAGUUUGAGGACCGUAAGACUUAAAUCCACAGACAAACAAAUGUGUUACAUAGGAACAUACAGUGAUGUAUCCUGGUUUUGUGCUGCCCUAGGCAGGACAAAACUCAGGCAACCCCCUCCCCCUCGCGCCACCACCACCCAACCCUGACCCCCCGCCCCACCUUCUAAAUAUACACUCACACACACAGUCAGACACACACACACACACAUACACAGUCAGACACACACACAGUCAGACACACACACACAGUCAGACACAAACACACACAGCCAGACACACACACACAGUCAGACACACACACACACACAGUCAGACACAAAAACACACACACACAGUCUGACACACACACAGUCAGACACACACACACACAGUCGGACACACACACACACACACACACACAGUCAGACACACACACACAAUCACUCACAUUAACACUUUUUUUUAAAAAUUUAAACACCCCCCCCCCAGCCUCCUUACCUUUGGGAGUGCUGGGGGGGGUUCCUCUUUCUCCCUGGUGGUCCAGUGGCUGCUGGGCGGGCGGCUGGCGAGGGAGCUCUUCCCCUGAGCGGUCUGCUCAGCUCCCUCGCGCCGCAGAGUGAGGCUGGGAGCCGGGUUGAUGACCUCAUAUUCCGGCUCCCAGCCUCACUCUGCGUUGUGCGAGGGAGCUGAGCAGACCGCUCAGGGGAAGAGCUCCCUCGCCAGCUGCCCGCCUGACCAUCAGCCAGCGCCGCCCAGUGCCCAGCAUGUCAGUUAGCCGCCAGGCUAACAAGGCAUUUGCCCUGGGCAUUUGGGGGGAGGCGUUUUUUGUCGCCCCUGAAAAAUGCCGCCCAAGGCAAAUGCCUAGUUUGCCUCACAGCUAAUACGUCCCUGGGAACAUAUGAUCAACUCUGGAACUCGAUAAAAUAAAUAUUUUCCAAUAAUUGGCCAAUUUUGAGACAUAAUCAGAACCUACAGGAAAGCAUUACACCAUUCCCUAGCAUAACGGCAUGGAAACCAAAAAUAUCUAAAAGACAUUCUAGUACACAGUCAUCUAGAACCAAUAUCAAACCCCGAGACAUGGUUGACUCAGACCAAAGGAAUAUAUAGAUGCAGUAGGUGCAAAGCGUGUAAGUUCAUAAAGCCCUCCAAAACAAUUGAGUGCUCUAGAAUUAACACAUAUCCAAUACAGGAUUUCAUCAAUUGCAGCACCACACAAGUUGUAUACAUCAUUACAUGCAGCUACACAUUACAAUAUGUAGGCAAAAUGUAUCAGCAACUGAGAACAUAUUUGCAAUCACAUCCAAAGGGCACAUGAUGGAGACCCAUCUCAUCUAAAAUUUCAAGCAAUUGAAAGAAUCACCACAAAUACCAUAAAAGGAGGCAUCAAUAUUCGGCUAUUGAAGAGAGAAUCAAAAUGGAUACAUGAAUUCCAGACGCUAGCCCCAAGGGGUUUGAACGAAGAAUUCAAUUUUACACCAUUUAUAUAUUAAUUCUUCUGCAAAAUGAUUAUCUUCCACCUUACUACUACCCCUAACACUAUCCAAUUUCCGUUCAUUUUGCAUUGCUCCUAUUAACAAUUUUUGACUGUAACUAAAUCCUGUUCAAUUUGGAUCCUACAAGAUUUUGAUCUAUCUACCCCAUUGAUAUUUAAAAAUAUUUGUAACAUAUUCUCCAAUAUUAUUACUAUUUAUGUCCAAUAUGGACACCAGAAUCAGCUUUUGUUUCCAUACAAUUUACUAUAAUAGUAUUCCACUGUGACCGACCAAUGCUUCUAGUGCUCACCGAGGACUCCAAGCACUCCACCAGACACCAUCAGCACCGUAGACUCCCACAAACUGCCGCAGCUUGGCUGGGGAUCUCGCUGUCCUCCACCCACCCUGGAUCCAAGACCAGGAUCCAGCUUCCGGUGGGUGAAUCUCUCCUAAUCCAGAGAGUAUAGCAGGAGCAGCUCUUAUAAGGGCGUAGGGAGUAUAGCAAUUCCCAGAGUGAAUAUAGCUGUCCCCUCCACACAUAAGACGAGGCUCUAUGUUGAAGGUGAAGAGGAACUGAUUUUAAUGGUGCCACACUUGGCCUAUUAUGACAAUCCCCAUGCAAGGGGCACUCCGACAUGGACCUUGUGGGGAACAUUGUUACAAAGUUACAAACCAAUAAUACCAGUGUUACAAUGCAUGACACUCUCAUAUACAAUACAAUAAGCCUUCCCCUUUACUUAGAAGAUAAUUGAGUCAAGCACUAUAGUAAACUCAAUUAUCUCCAAACACAAAAAGCACACAUUUUUAAUACCCCCCGUCCCCAAAUACCAAAUACCUUAACUUUGGGCUCUACCACCACUUCAAUAAAAUGAAGCAGGAACAGUGAAUCUUAAGGCUUGACUGUUUAAUGUAAGGAACAGAACCUUUUCCACUGAACUAAUAGUAAAUGUGCUCUAGAAUGUAUCUAGAAUGAGCGCUCUAGAAUAUAUCUGCACUGCUAGGAUUACGAUAGCAUUAACAUUGUUAUUGGCACAUUAUCUUACCAUGUUGAUUACAGCAUCAUUAUUGAUUGUGAUUAAGUCACUAAUGUUUUAUUACUACUAUAAUAAAAUUACUCCUUAUAAAAUCCCACCAAUUACCCCAUAGUUACUGUAUCCUGUGAUAAUACAUGUGGUGAGAGAAUUAUAUGUAAUGCAUUAACAAUCAAUGCUUUCAGAGAUACCAUUCUAUUUAUAUAUUCGUAUUGUUUUCCCUUCUUCAUUAGGUGAGAUCGUAGGAGAUACCUUAAUUGAUUUUGGUGCUGGGCCAGCCAUCUAUCAUCUCCUUUCAGCCUGUGAGGUGUUUAAGAAUAUAAUUACUUCUGACUUCCUUGAGCAAAACUGUGCUGAGCUGAAUAAGUGGCUUAAGAAGGACCCUGGGGCAUUUGACUGGACUCCAGCUGUCAAGUUAGUAUGUGAGCUAGAAGGAAACAGGUAUGUCUCCAUCUAAGGCAAAAUGUAUAAACACACUAAGAAAAAAAUGUAACAAUACGUGAAAAACGAAGUGUUCCCAGGUGUACCUCGCAGACACCCAACUAAUAAGUUAAAAGCAAAGAAGAUUGGAAAACCACCCAGUACACGUAUAAAAUUGGAUAUAACCUGGAAAUUUGGACCAGGAUAAAUGAGAUCAGUAGAGCUCUAUAAUCAUGACAAACAUUACAUAGGGUAAUACAGUAUGAUAAAAAGGAGUGAGUAGUGUUUAGUAUUAAACUCACAAACAUAAGAUGAAACAGGCUUCUCACCCCACCAGGGGUUAAAACGGAUCAGAGAGCUGGUAGAUCUCAGUUUUGGAAAUCCUUUUGGUAAAUGGAGGAAAGAGAUACAUGGUGAAGUACAGUAAAAUCAAACAAAGGUUUAUUAAGAUUGCACUUAAAAGCAGGUAGAAAAUCUGGGCAUGUCUCCACACACUGUGGAACCAGGUAGCAGCGUGGUAGAUCUCUUAGUGACGAAAUGCAGAAAUAAAAACAAAACAAAUAUAAUACAAAAUUAAAAGUCCAUAAAGAGUCCAAGAUAAGUUGUCCAAUUACUGUUGUAUAUUAUUUCAUUGGAAAUGUUCAAAUCAAAUUGGUUUUCCAUUUGGUCAUAUUUGCUAAUUUUGUUUAAUGUAAAUAAAUUAUCAAUGUGUGUGAUAGAAUGUGGUGUCCAGUAAUCUAAAUUGAAGUCGGGGAUGUCAUAAAGUAAAACUGAUAAUGGAGUUGCCCUAGACCAAAUUGCAAAGGGUUUAAUUUUUUUUUUUUUUUAAGUGGGUGGUGACAAUUGGGACUGACCUCAGUGCCACUUAGGAGCCGGGCCAGCAACAAGUUUCUCUGCCUCCUCCUGUUGCUGGGCUUGCUGGAUUUCGGCCUGUGGGUGUCCUGGAUGUUGGAUCCAUUCUGUCUGUUCUCAGGGUUGGUGCUGUUGCAGACAGUGGCCUCCUCCUCCGGGUUCCGCUGGCGGUGUGGGUCGCCCCCGCCCCCUAUUCCUGUGGUUCUUCCUUAUUGUCAUUCUUUAUUUAUUGUCCCCCUCUUUCUUUAUUGUCCCCCUUCCUGUGGUUCUUCAUUAUUGUUCCUCUUAUUUAUUGUCCCCUCUUUCUUUAUUGUCCUCCCCUUCCUGUGGUUCUUCAUUUUGUCCCCCCCUUUCUAUAUUGUCCCCCCCUCUUUUUUUUUGUUCCCCCCCUUUUUCUCCCCAUGGCGUGGAUGUCUCUGGGGCUGGCCUGGCUGGGUCUCUUCUCUCCCACACCCCCUCUUUCUCCUCCUCUGCCCUUUCUCCCCUCCCCCCUUUGUGCUGCCCCUUUUCCCCUGUCCCUGUGUCCAUGCCUCCCCUGUCCCUGGGGCCCUUCCCACUCUCCACCCCCCCCCUCCUUACCUGUCUCGGCAGCCUCCUGUCCUGGAGCGUGGGCUCUCCAUCUCUCCACUGCUUCCUCAGGCUUUGGGUGCAGUUGCCGUGCAGCAGGUGGCGUCUGGAGCUCCAGUUGCCCUGGGAACUGCGCUGCAGGUGAUGGAAUCCUCUUCUCAAGCUGCUGUCUCUGCUAUGGUGCCGCAAGCAGUUCCUGGGGUGCCGUCAGGUGAGUCAUGUCUUCCUGCAUUGGCUGGGGCGUCUGUGCUAGGCGGGUUCAUGUCGGGUUUGCGGGAUCUCCUCUCUCAUUGGGAGCGGGGUGUGCUGGCACAGGGGGCUCAGGGCUUGGACGGUCAGUUGCGCUCAGUGCAGUACCUUCCUGUCGCAACGGUGAGUCCCGCGGUUGGCGGGGAAGUUAGCCCUGCAUGGGGGGGGGUAACCAGGGGGCUUUGGAUGACGUCGCAGACGCGGCAAAAGGGGAACCCUAAGGGUGCCUCUCAAACAGGAGGUUCGGGAAAAAUCAAGAAAGGGUGAUUUUGUCGAGAUAUUCCCCAUUUGCCCUCAGAGGAUGACCCUCCUCUGGGGGACAAGGAAGGGUAGGACUCGGACGAAGGUAAUGCAAAGUUCCAUUCUAGGUUCCGACUUGCACCUCUAUAUGGACACUACUGGCUCUGUUGGGUUUGGGCGAUUUUGGGAUCGUGCUGGUGUGCUGACACCUGGCCAGCGGCGUGGUCUGCGUCUGGCUUAACCAGGAAUCUUGCCUUCCUGGAGUUUUUUCCCAUUGUGGUGGCAUUGGAAUUGUGGGGUCGGGAGCUGCAGGAGCGUCAGGUCGUUUUGUCACUGUGAUGACCUGGGGGUUGUCCAGGUGUUUAACCAGCUCUCGGCCUCUUCUCUUCCGGUAAUACGCCCGCUCCAGCGCCUAGUGCUCCGGUGCCUGUGUCUUAAUGUGUUGUGUAGGUCCAGUUGCUCUUGGGCCAGGUAGUCCAAGGUAUGGGUGGCAGGCGCUGGAGUCGGAGGUGGGUAUCUUUCGGGUUUGCCUGCUCGUUUCAUGGUCUGUUGCGACUGCUGGAGCAUUGGGGUUUCGGCGGGUAUGUUGCCCUCGGUGGUGUCCUCGCGCUAGAGAGGGGUAUUUUUUAUAUACAUCCCUACAUGCUUAUCAACCCUUAAUAGGGAACACAUGGGAUGGGCAGCAGCAUUGCAACCUAGCCAGAGUGCGCUGGAGCGCUGCCGCAAAGAGUUUAACCGCCAGGUUUCACAGUUCAUUGUAGGGGUUGGGGCAGGGCCGGACUGGGAGAAAAAUUCGGCCCGGGCAUUUUUUUAACACAGCGGCCCACUAAAAAGGGGGCGGGGCAGAGGAGGUGUGUUUUGUCAUCACCAAUGACAAACACGCCUCCUCUCAAAGUGAGCAUGUUGGUUCAAUGCUCUUCCAGGGCAGACCACGCGCAGAGCUCUGCUGAAGAGCUCUAGCAUGAGAAAAAAGUCCUGUAUUUGUUCUGCACAGUGCAAGCAAAUUUAAUAACAUGCUUGCAUUGUGUUUCCUUGCAACUUGUCUCUGGUGUCUCUAUAAAUGGAUACCAGGAGACAAAAGGCCAGGACAGAGUAUUGUGCAUGUGUUUGGAGCCUGCUUGUGGUAUUGGGUGUGUGUAGAGUGAGCUGGUCGUGGUGUGGUAUUGUGUAAUAAGGUCGGUUUUAGUCGUGUUGUGUUUGUGGUGUAAUGUGAUGCAUAUGUGGCUCAGGAACCCCCUCCCGCACGGCUCUGGAAAGGGGUUAAAACUUACCUUUUUCCAGCGCUGGGCGGGGAGCUCUCCUCCUCCGAUCAGCCCCGUCGGCUGAAUGCGCACGCGCGGCAAGAGCUGCGCGCGCAUUCAGCCGGUCGCAUAGGAAAGCAUUUAUAAUGCUUUCCUAUGGACGCUUGCGUGCUCUCACUGUGAUUUUCACAGUGAAAAGCAUGCAAGCACCUUUAGCGGCUGUCAAUGAGACAGCUGCUAGAGGCUUUGGGGGAAGGCUUAACCCAUUGAUAAACAUAGCAGUUUCUCUGAAACUGCUAUGUUUAUAAAACAAUGGGUUAACCCUAGAAGGACCUGGCACCAAGACCACUUAAUUAAGCUGAAGUGGUCUGGGUGGCUAGAGUGGUCCUUUAAGAGUGUAGUGUGUGUGUGUAUGUAUAUGUGUGUGUAUAUAUAUAUAUAUAUAUAUAUAUAUAUUUGGAAGUAUUGUGUAUGUGUGUGGUGCAGUGUGUUGGGGGGGUUCUGUGUGUAUGUGAGGGGUGCAGCAUGUGUGUGUGUGAGGGUGCGGUGUGUGUGUGAGGGGUGCGGUGUGUGUGAUGGGUGUGAGAGUGCCGUGUGUGAGUGAUGGGUGUGAGAGUGCUGUGUGAGAUGGGUGUGAGAGAGUGCUGUGUGAGAGAGUGCUGUGUGUGUGUGAGAGUGCUGUGAGUGUGAUGGGUGUGAGAGUGCUGUGAGUGUGAUGGGUGUGAGAGUGCUGUGAGAGAGUGCUGUGUGUGUGAAAGUGCUGUGUGUGAUGGGUGUGAGAGUGCUGUGUGUGUGUGAGUGCUCUGUGAGAGUGCGCUGUGUGUGAUGGUGUGAGAGUGCUGGGUGUGAGAGUGCUGUGUGUGAUGGGUAAGAGAGUGCUGGGUGUGAGUGAUGGGUGUGAGAGUGCUGUGUGAGAGUGCUGUGUGUGAUGGGUAAGAGAGUGCUGGGUGUGAGUGAUGGGUGUGAGAGUGAUGUGUGAGAGAGUGCUGUGUGUAAUGUGUGUGAGAGUGCUGUGUGUGAUGGGUGAGAGUGCUGUGUGUGAGAGUGCUGUGUGAGAGUGCUGUGUGUGAGAGUGCUGUGUGAGAGUGCUGUGUGUGAUGGGUGUGAGAGUGCUGUGUGUGAUGGGUGAGAGUGCUGUGUGUGAGAGUGCUGUGUGUGAGAGUGCUGUGUGUGAUGGGUGUGAGAGUGCUGUGGGAGAGAGUGCUGUAUAAAUGUUAUUGUGUGUGUGUGUAGGGGGGGUAAAUAAAAAAAAAAAAAAAAGUCAUUAUUUCCCCCCUCCCUUCUUACCUUUAGCCUGGGAGGGGGGGUCCGGCAAGCUGGCAGGCAGGGUGGCGGUGUUCCCUGGUGGUCCUCGUGGGUGAGUGAACUCUAGCCUGUGAGGCUAGAGUUCACUCUCGCGAGAUCCGGUCGUUGCCAUGGCAACGCGCCGGAUCUCGCGAGAGGAACCCGGCGGAGCUGCAAGUUAGAGCUCCGCCGGGUCCUCUCUCCAGCCUAGCUGGCUGGCUGUCUCCCUCCCUCCCCGCCGGCAGCCGCAUGUGGGCCGGUCAGGGAGAUCCUUGAUCUCCCCACCGGCCCGUCGUGACAAACAGCGGGGCCGGCGCUAGGAGAGUGCCGGCCCUGCAUAGACCGGCAGGGGAGAUCCUGUGAUCUCCCCUGCCGGCCUCGGCCCAUGGCCACCGCGGCCCACCGGGCAUUUGCCCGGUGUGCCCGAUGGCCAGUCCGGGCCUGGUUGGGGGGAUACCCAUUCCUCACAGGGUUUGAGAAGGGGGUGGCUGAUUAGUUUCGGCCAUAGGGGGUUCAUUUGACCAAGGUCAGGCUCGAACCUUUUUUAAUCUGGCCAUUCAUGAGGCGGUGGAACAGGCCUUGGUUGGUUGUUUGGGGUCCCCUGCUGAUUUUAGGCUUAAAACAGCAGGGUUGAGGUGGGGGGUGUUCUUGCCAAGUAAGGGGUGGUGGUUUUUGCAGGUUAGAUGAAGGUGGGGGGUAAUGGCCGGGUCUCAUCCUCCCCUGUCUCUUUGGUGAAUCUUAAAUGGUACCAAGUUGGAUGUGUCCCCACCAAGAUAAAGCCAGCUGGUGGGGAGCCAAAAAGGCAAGAGGAGUUUAUUAUGCCGAGGGGGGAGGUGAGAGCCUUUGGGAAGAAGGAAUUAGAUUGGCAAGGACGUGUUGGACAAGUACUGUAUGACAUCAUGCAGGUACUUACAUGUUAUUUAUUUAUGAGAAUAUUAUGUAAAGUUAUAUGUUGAAGGAGUCAUGCAGUAUUUGUGUUUUAAUAAAUGCUGUGGCCUGUUACUUCCAAGAUUUGGUGUCUGUCUUUAUUUGGGGGGAAGCUAUGGUUUGGUAAAAGGUCAUCCCGUCCAAUGCCCACUACGUACAUACAUGUGCGUCAAACUUGUCUGGUUACAAAUACGUGUCUGUUAGUCCACCCAUUUUACAGUGCUACGGAACUUUUUGGCGCUUUAUAAAUAAUAAUAAAUAAUAAUAAUAAAAUAAAUAAUCUAAAGAUAAGAGCAAAGAAGGUGUGAGAUUUAGUUUUAUUUGAUGUAUUAUAUUUAUUUAACGCCUUGCACUAUCCGGGGCCUGAUGAUUUAAAACAAAACCCACCUGAUCAUAGUCAAUAAGUGAUGGAAAACUUUGAGAUGAUCUAUCUGCCAAUAUUUUGGAGAAAAUUUUUGUGUCAUUAUUAAAAGAACACAGACUUUUUUGUGUCAACAGAUAAAACCAUAUUAUGUCUAAUGUUCUCUUUCAACAGGGACAAUUGUGAGAAAAAUGAAGAAAAAGUGAGGAGAGCCAUGAAACAUAUUCUAAAAUGUGAUGCACUUAAAAAGAACCCAUUUGAGCCUGUCAUUCUGGAACCAGCUGAUUGCUUCUCAAGUUGUCUCUGCUUGGAAGCUACCUGUGUGGAUGCAGCCGUUUACUGCAACAGCCUUAAAAAUUUCAUGGACUUUCUCAAUCCAGGGGGUCAUAUCAUAAUACACAGUGCACUAAACUGUACAUUUUAUUACAUUGGGAACAAGACAUUUUCAAGCCUGAUGAUGACAAAAUAAGAUAUUAAAAGAGCUUUUAAAGAAGCUGGUUAUAAAAUUAAGAGGAUGGACGUUGUCCCUCGUGAAGACAUAUCAAGGAUGGACAAACCAUGACUAUGACAAUUAUUAUUAUUGUGUUAUUGCAUGUAAACCAGUUACUGUGUGAACAGAGUGCCACGUCUUAUACAACGUAGUAUAAUGUUUGUUUCUUGUAACUGCAAUAUUUUACAACAUCUUAAAGGUGGGUGAAGUCAGUGUAUCUCUAUUGGGUUUAGGGCUCUAAAUAUAUAAAUAAAGAAGUAGGGA